GACGAACGCUGGCGGCGUGCUUAACACAUGCAAGUCGAACGGUAAGGCCCUUCGAGGUACACGAGUGGCGAACGGGUGAGUAACACGUGGGUGAUCUGCCCUGCACUUCGGGAUAAGCCUGGGAAACUGGGUCUAAUACCGGAUAGGACCACUGCCUGCAUGGGUGGUGGUGGAAAGCUUUUGCGGUGUGGGAUGGGCCCGCGGCCUAUCAGCUUGUUGGUGGGGGGAUGGCCUACCAAGGCGACGACGGGUAGCCGGCCUGAGAGGGUGACCGGCCACACUGGGACUGAGAUACGGCCCAGACUCCUACGGGAGGCAGCAGUGGGGAAUAUUGCACAAUGGGCGCAAGCCUGAUGCAGCGACGCCGCGUGAGGGAUGACGGCCUUCGGGUUGUAAACCUCUUUCAGCACCGACGAAGCGCAAGUGACGGUAGGUGCAGAAGAAGGACCGGCCAACUACGUGCCAGCAGCCGCCGUAA
Molecule: ribosomal RNA, 478 nt
Filed under: uncultured bacterium
Lineage: Bacteria
Description: partial 16S ribosomal RNA
Rfam family: Bacterial small subunit ribosomal RNA
Source: RNAcentral